Molecule: ribosomal RNA, 258 nt
Filed under: uncultured bacterium
Lineage: Bacteria
Description: partial 16S ribosomal RNA
Rfam family: Bacterial small subunit ribosomal RNA
Source: RNAcentral
UACGUAGGGUGCGAGCGUUGUCCGGAAUUAUUGGGCGUAAAGAGCUCGUAGGCGGUGUGUCACGUCGGCCGUGAAAACCUGCAGCUUAACUGUGGGCGUGCGGUCGAUACGGGCAUCACUGGAGUUCGGCAGGGAGACUGGAAUUCCUGGUGAUGAGCGGUGAAAUGCGCAGACUAUCAGGAGGAACACCGGUGGCGAAGGCGGGUCUCUGGGCCGAUACUGACGCUGGAGGAAGCGAAAGCGUGGGGAGCAAACAGG